AAGGGGUUUUUGAUACGCACUUUAUGUAUCUAAUUCCACGUUCAUCCAAAAUACUUAAGAGCUCAACUUUUUUGUUAUUUUCACCCUCUCGUUUCCUCGGCUCAAAAAAUUGUGCGAUUGCUUUUGAAGAAAAUAUACGUUCCCUAAAAAAUGUAAGAGACAAGUCGCUUUGUGUUACUACUUACUCUUUUGCCGAACUAGGAAGUGUACCAAGUAAAGGCAUAUAUGCAGUGGCAUCAAAUAAAAAAUCAUUGCGUUUUUCAUUUACUAUCGUUUCUUGCAUGGCCCAUGUUAUCAUUAGAACCGCUAAAUCUCUGGAAGCUGGCCUUUGCUCAACCAGAUGUCCUGUGGAGGAAUCAAUAAUUUUAAGCUCUCCAUUUUUAAAUCCAACAACUAUUAAAUUCCCUAUUUAUGUUAAUGAUACAAAAAAAGUUUUCCAGUCGAGCCACGUACCAUCGUGAUUCCAACACAAUUCAGUAGCCUCGAGAUCAUGAAAAUCGACAUCCCAAAUUCUUUGACUGUUACUUCUACAGCAAAUCAAAUGAUUUGAACACGUUAAUAUCGCAAUGAGUUCCAUAGAAGGGCAUAAGAUUACUCGUUUAAGGCCACUUCCAACCCUUUCAACUCUAUUAGUUUCAUUAAUCCAUUCAAAUUUAUGCUUUUUAGGGUAUUUGAAAGAUUUUGACACCAUUUGGAUAAGACUGGAUGAUUUUGGUGAUUCGUAGAAGUUUGUUUAUUGUAGUACAGCAAGUCAAUAAAAGC
Non-coding RNA from Schizosaccharomyces pombe (fission yeast), 762 nucleotides. The record is from the annotation of a GenBank genome assembly. Lineage: Eukaryota; Fungi; Ascomycota; Schizosaccharomycetes; Schizosaccharomycetales; Schizosaccharomycetaceae.